GUUUUUCUAUGUGUAUGAGAAUUUUGAGAUGAAUCAAAUGGUGCAAAAGAGAGAUAUUGGCUCUGAAAGAUUGGCAUCAAGAUUAGAGAAGGAGGCUAGCCAAUUCCUCAAUUUGGUAACUUCGAUUCUUUUCAAUUUUUUUGUGCUUGUUUCCAACUUAGUUUUUAAGAAGUUUGCAAAAUUUGAGUUAAGAUCAAUGGUUUAUUCUUUAGUUAUUGAGGAUUAUAUCUGUUAUAAGAAUUAUCAGGGUUUGAUUGGGAUUUAUUUAGGGUUUAGGAUUUAGAUAGGGUUUGGUUUAGAGUUUAGGAUUUGGUUUAGAGUUUAGAUUGGGAUUUGAUUUAGGAUUUAGGAUUUAGAUUAGGAUUUAGUUAGGAUUUGAUUUAGAGUUUAGAGUUUGGAUUAGGGUUUGAUUAGGAUUUGGUUUAGAGUUUAGAGUUUGGAUUAGGAUUUGAUUAGGAGUUAAGAUUUGAUUAGGAUUUGGUUUAGGAUUUGGUUUAGGAUUUAGAAUUUGGAUUAGGAUUUGGAUUAGGAUUUAGAUUAGGAUUUAGGAUUUGAUUUAGGGAUUGGUUUAAAGUUUAUGGUUUGAUUAAGGUUUGAUUAGGAUUUGAUUAGGGUUUGAUUUAGGAUUUAAGGUUUAAGAUUUAAUCAAUUUUGGCCUAAAGUUUGAAUGAAGUUCAAUAGGAUUUUGACUAGAAUUAAAUAAAGAUUGAAUUGAGAUAUAUUUGAGUGAUAUUUGUGAUCCUUCUAAUAUUUCUUUAAGAGUUCUUAUUGUUUGUUUGAAAUUUCUUAGAGUUUUUUUUGAAUUCGAUUAAGCUUGCUUAGCAUUAUUAUGGUCUAAUUAGAGCUUUAUUAGUAUUCUAUUAGAAUUAGGAUUUUCUU
This 879-nucleotide long non-coding RNA is filed under the name Physcomitrium patens. Its description in RNAcentral is "long non-coding RNA (PPAT_LNC006445)". The record is from RNAcentral. Lineage: Eukaryota; Viridiplantae; Streptophyta; Bryopsida; Funariales; Funariaceae.